Molecule: ribosomal RNA, 253 nt
Filed under: uncultured bacterium
Lineage: Bacteria
Description: partial 16S ribosomal RNA
Rfam family: Bacterial small subunit ribosomal RNA
Source: RNAcentral
UACGUAGGGUGCAAGCGUUAAUCGGAAUUACUGGGCGUAAAGCGUGCGCAGGCGGUCUUGCAAGACAGAUGUGAAAUCCCCGGGCUCAACCUGGGAACUGCAUUUGUGACUGCACGGCUGGAGUGCGGCAGAGGGGGAUGGAAUUCCGCGUGUAGCAGUGAAAUGCGUAGAUAUGCGGAGGAACACCGAUGGCGAAGGCAAUCCCCUGGGCCUGCACUGGCGCUCAUGCACGAAAGCGUGGGGAGCAAACAGG